This 439-nucleotide ribosomal RNA is filed under the name Escherichia coli. RNAcentral's name for it is "partial 23S ribosomal RNA". It matches the Rfam family "Bacterial large subunit ribosomal RNA", at positions 1233 to 1673 of the family's 2925-position model. The record is from RNAcentral. Lineage: Bacteria; Pseudomonadati; Pseudomonadota; Gammaproteobacteria; Enterobacterales; Enterobacteriaceae.
GGAGCGUUCUGUAAGCCUGCGAAGGUGUGCUGUGAGGCAUGCUGGAGGUAUCAGAAGUGCGAAUGCUGACAUAAGUAACGAUAAAGCGGGUGAAAAGCCCGCUCGCCGGAAGACCAAGGGUUCCUGUCCAACGUUAAUCGGGGCAGGGUGAGUCGACCCCUAAGGCGAGGCCGAAAGGCGUAGUCGAUGGGAAACAGGUUAAUAUUCCUGUACUUGGUGUUACUGCGAAGGGGGGACGGAGAAGGCUAUGUUGGCCGGGCGACGGUUGUCCCGGUUUAAGCGUGUAGGCUGGUUUUCCAGGCAAAUCCGGAAAAUCAAGGCUGAGGCGUGAUGACGAGGCACUACGGUGCUGAAGCAACAAAUGCCCUGCUUCCAGGAAAAGCCUCUAAGCAUCAGGUAACAUCAAAUCGUACCCCAAACCGACACAGGUGGUCAGGUA